Molecule: non-coding RNA, 119 nt
Organism: Beta vulgaris subsp. vulgaris (sugar beet)
Lineage: Eukaryota; Viridiplantae; Streptophyta; Magnoliopsida; Caryophyllales; Amaranthaceae
Source: Rfam
GGGUGCGAUAAUUACGACACUAAUGCAACAGAUCCCAAUAGAACUCCGCAGUUAAGCGUGUUUGGACGUGAGUAGUUCUAGGAAGGGUGACCUCUUAGGAAGUCCUCGUGUUGCACCCC